Molecule: unclassified non-coding RNA, 337 nt
Filed under: soil metagenome
Description: partial contains 5.8S ribosomal RNA, internal transcribed spacer 2, and large subunit ribosomal RNA
Rfam family: 5.8S ribosomal RNA (bases 1-120)
Source: RNAcentral
GAUGAAGAACGUAGUGAAAUGCGAUAAGUAGUGUGAAUUGCAGAAUUCAGUGAAUCAUCGAAUCUUUGAACGCACAUUGCGCCCCUUGGUAUUCCAUGGGGCAUGCCUGUUCGAGCGUCAUUUGUACCUUCAAGCUCUGCUUGGUGUUGGGUGUUUGUCUCGCCUUUGCGUGUAGACUCGCCUCAAAACAAUUGGCAGCCGGCGUAUUGAUUUCGGAGCGCAGUACAUCUCGCGCUUUGCACUCAUAACGACGACGUCCAGAAGUACAUUUUUACACUCUUGACCUCGGAUCAGGUAGGGAUACCCGCUGAACUUAAGCAUAUCAAUAAGCGGAGGA